Long non-coding RNA from Camelus dromedarius (Arabian camel), 2520 nucleotides. RefSeq lists it as uncharacterized. The transcript is spliced from 2 exons. NCBI's taxonomy places the organism in Eukaryota, Metazoa, Chordata, Mammalia, Artiodactyla, Camelidae. The record is from RefSeq and is a predicted model, not a curated record.
AGGGCACCUAGGGAGACAGAGCAGAGACGUCACUUGCCGGGAGAGACCAGACGAGGCAGGUGCAGCCCUGAGCGAGGAAGGAGGUGGUGGCGAGUCCAAACCACCCGGGAGGGGAGCGGGGCGACGGCAGUGUCUAACAGAUGCCCCUUCCACCCGGGAACAGCCGGUGUUAGCAGCAGUGGUCCCCGGGCUCGGAGCUGAGCAGUUUGCAUGCGUGAGCUCAGGUAACCUUCUCUGCACACCUGGCGGGCAGAGAUGCUAUUAUCCCAUCUUGUCGGCGGGGAGAAGGAGCUUCCAAGAGCUCGGGGAACUUGCCUCCCACUUUACAAGAAUGGAGUCAAGUGCUGGCCACACUUUGCAGCUCUAGAGACAGCCAGGAGUCACCUUGACACCACCUUUCCUGGCGCGAGGACAGCCGGACAGGCUGAAAAACGGACCGGGCAAAGAGCAAAGCAGAACCACGUGACCUCACGGGCGGCUGGACACUCGGAUUUCCACCCUCUGUGGGGGGGGGGGGGGUCAGUCCUACCUUCUGUGGGAGGCGUAGUUUCCCGUCACGUGUCCUGAACCGUCACAGCCUGGGGUCGGACACCUGGAAAACAGGAGGGUGGAGCUCGGGCCGCGGGGCUGUCGCGGAGGGCGGGGCGCCGCAUCACAGCCAGCCAGCGUUUGCGUAGAACGAGCUGAUGCCGUGGCGCUCUUUUUGCUCAACUGUAACCGGGUUUUAGCUAAGGUUCUGUUUUAAAGGCGACGUUGAGGUGUGUAACUACUGCCCCAUGCUUGGCAGACAACGUCUUAGGUGUUACCCUGCAUUUUUUUUUUCUUCUUUUUAACCCUUAUUUUGGAAGGAACCUGAAAUUCUACCCACAGCUGACUGCUGGGCCUCUGUCUACAUCCUGCAAAGUUCUUAUCUCUUGCUUAAGAAAAAGAGUUGCCAAAUUGUUUUUGUGCAUCAUUUAUUUUCUUUGAUUUGCUCCACCCUUAGAGGGUCCUGCCAGUUCAGAUGGACAACGGUAGUGUCUGGGUACCCCAGAGACCUGGCAGAUUCCUGUCGAUGCCAAAGGACUGAGGACAUUUUGCACCUGCUCGGCCCUGCUUAGACGGCCUUUUGGAAAAUCUAACAUUAACUCUGACCGACAAUCAACAUUUGAAUUCGGACUCAGGAGAGUGAAGAAGGAAAGAGAAUCCAAUCCUACUUGGAAUGCUAAUUAGGAACAAGUUUUAAAAUACACUUGAAGACAAAAAUAUAUAGAGAUUCUCACAUUUCUGUUGCCUUUAAAAAAAUGCCUAAUAGAAAUAAAAACACAGAGUCUGUCAUAAAACAUUUGCUUCCCUGAAGGCCCUGUGGACAACGUGAUUGUGAUUACUUCACUUGUACGUCCACCCUGGUUCAGCUUUCUCCCCAAACAAGAGUUUGAGGAAAAUAAUAACCCAAAGAAGAAUGUAAACAACAUUCCUUUUUGUCAAUUCUAACCCACUGAACCUCCAUGGAAAUGCCUUUAUGUUCAAUCUGGAGGCAAAAUACAGGGAGCGAAUGCUUUUUUCAAAGGAAAUGUGAAACCAGCACACAUCUCGUCAAGGUCACCGGAGGACCCUGCUCUGGUUCUUGAAUCAACCGCUUAGAGAUUUAACAUGUAUUCUAUGUUGUGGGCGAGGCGCAGACGCUUGUCUUUUUCUAUUAAUAUUUUUAGUAAAAUGGUUAGUCAUUUACUAACACAUUGCUAUCCUGGAGAAAUCUGUGCCCAAAGCCUUGUUUUGCAGUCCUCCCUGACUAUUUAAGCCUGAGGUCAAUGAAAUGUCGCUUUUUCUUCUUUGUACAGAAGAAAGCCAGAGGUGCUGCUUAUCGGAUGGCUGCAUGAAACAUGCCAACACCGAACGUCGCUAGAGAACCUUGCAGUCUACAUGCUUUCAAUGUACUAGCAACGUUUCUUUUCUAGAAAUAAUGUUUAGAGAAAAUACUUAGAACCGAUAGCUAUUUUUAAGAUCUGGCAAUGCAGAAGCUUAAAGCAAUUGACUAAGACUGAGUAUAUAAGUGCUGAGUAAUUGAGUUUAAGUAAGAUUGAGGAAGAAUGUCUGGCCCUUUUCUCAACCCACUCAUUAGUCUCCACGUCACAUUCCUACAUUUCAGUCUAGAAAAACGGUUGUCAGCCAGACGAUUUCUAGAAUCUACACUGACAAUUAAUUGUGCGUUCACUUUGAAAAUGGGAACAGUUGCAUAUUUUAUAGUUGUCUUUUCUAUUGAUGGCGCUAAAAUUCAGCAUUUUUAUACCUGUUUAGUAAAUGUCACAUCUUCUUUCAUAAACUUUUUGGGGUAAUUUUUAGAUAAAUUUUAAACAAAUUAAAAAAUGAAAAUAUGAAGAAAAUAUUGAGAAAACAUAAUAACUGAAAUUUUAUGUGUCAAUUCGAUACCAAAUGUUGAUUCUACGAUUUACACAAACAUUAUUUUAUCACUAGACUUAGUAACACUCAUUUUUCCUAAAAUAUUAUUAUGUGCAAAUAAAUUUUAUCCACUUUGUUUAA